Molecule: ribosomal RNA, 2908 nt
Filed under: Salmonella enterica subsp. enterica serovar Gallinarum
Lineage: Bacteria; Pseudomonadati; Pseudomonadota; Gammaproteobacteria; Enterobacterales; Enterobacteriaceae
Also listed under: 1 other name
Description: 23S ribosomal RNA
Rfam family: Bacterial large subunit ribosomal RNA
Source: RNAcentral
GGUUAAGCGACUAAGCGUACACGGUGGAUGCCCUGGCAGUCAGAGGCGAUGAAGGGCGUGCUAAUCUGCGAUAAGCGCCGGUAAGGUGAUAUGAACCAUUAUAACCGGCGAUACCCGAAUGGGGAAACCCAGUGUGACUCGUCACACUAUCAUUAACUGAAUCCAUAGGUUAAUGAGGCGAACCGGGGGAACUGAAACAUCUAAGUACCCCGAGGAAAAGAAAUCAACCGAGAUUCCCCCAGUAGCGGCGAGCGAACGGGGAGGAGCCCAGAGCCUGAAUCAGCAUGUGUGUUAGUGGAAGCGUCUGGAAAGGCGCGCGAUACAGGGUGACAGCCCCGUACACAAAAGCGCAUGUGCUGUGAGCUCGAUGAGUAGGGCGGGACACGUGGUAUCCUGUCUGAAUAUGGGGGGACCAUCCUCCAAGGCUAAAUACUCCUGACUGACCGAUAGUGAACCAGUACCGUGAGGGAAAGGCGAAAAGAACCCCGGCGAGGGGAGUGAAAAAGAACCUGAAACCGUGUACGUACAAGCAGUGGGAGCACAGGUUUACCUGUGUGACUGCGUACCUUUUGUAUAAUGGGUCAGCGACUUAUAUUCUGUAGCAAGGUUAACCGUAUAGGGGAGCCGUAGGGAAACCGAGUCUUAACCGGGCGUUAAGUUGCAGGGUAUAGACCCGAAACCCGGUGAUCUAGCCAUGGGCAGGUUGAAGGUUGGGUAACACUAACUGGAGGACCGAACCGACUAAUGUUGAAAAAUUAGCGGAUGACCUGUGGCUGGGGGUGAAAGGCCAAUCAAACCGGGAGAUAGCUGGUUCUCCCCGAAAGCUAUUUAGGUAGCGCCUCGUGAAUUCAUCUCCGGGGGUAGAGCACUGUUUCGGCUAGGGGGCCAUCCCGGCUUACCAACCCGAUGCAAACUGCGAAUACCGGAGAAUGUUAUCACGGGAGACACACGGCGGGUGCUAACGUCCGUCGUGAAGAGGGAAACAACCCAGACCGCCAGCUAAGGUCCCAAAGUCAUGGUUAAGUGGGAAACGAUGUGGGAAGGCCCAGACAGCCAGGAUGUUGGCUUAGAAGCAGCCAUCAUUUAAAGAAAGCGUAAUAGCUCACUGGUCGAGUCGGCCUGCGCGGAAGAUGUAACGGGGCUAAACCAUGCACCGAAGCUGCGGCAGCGACGCUGAUGCGUUGUUGGGUAGGGGAGCGUUCUGUAAGCCUGUGAAGGUGGCCUGUGAGGGUUGCUGGAGGUAUCAGAAGUGCGAAUGCUGACAUAAGUAACGAUAAAGCGGGUGAAAAGCCCGCUCGCCGGAAGACCAAGGGUUCCUGUCCAACGUUAAUCGGGGCAGGGUGAGUCGACCCCUAAGGCGAGGCCGAAAGGCGUAGUCGAUGGGAAACGGGUUAAUAUUCCCGUACUUGGUGUUACUGCGAAGGGGGGACGGAGAAGGCUAUGUUGGCCGGGCGACGGUUGUCCCGGUUUAAGCGUGUAGGUGUGUGUUCCAGGUAAAUCCGGUUCACUUUAACACUGAGGCGUGAUGACGAGGCACUACGGUGCUGAAGCAACAAAUGCCCUGCUUCCAGGAAAAGCCUCUAAGCAUCAGGUAACAUCAAAUCGUACCCCAAACCGACACAGGUGGUCAGGUAGAGAAUACCAAGGCGCUUGAGAGAACUCGGGUGAAGGAACUAGGCAAAAUGGUGCCGUAACUUCGGGAGAAGGCACGCUGACACGUAGGUGAAGUGAUUUACUCAUGGAGCUGAAGUCAGUCGAAGAUACCAGCUGGCUGCAACUGUUUAUUAAAAACACAGCACUGUGCAAACACGAAAGUGGACGUAUACGGUGUGACGCCUGCCCGGUGCCGGAAGGUUAAUUGAUGGGGUCAGCGCAAGCGAAGCUCCUGAUCGAAGCCCCGGUAAACGGCGGCCGUAACUAUAACGGUCCUAAGGUAGCGAAAUUCCUUGUCGGGUAAGUUCCGACCUGCACGAAUGGCGUAAUGAUGGCCAGGCUGUCUCCACCCGAGACUCAGUGAAAUUGAACUCGCUGUGAAGAUGCAGUGUACCCGCGGCAAGACGGAAAGACCCCGUGAACCUUUACUAUAGCUUGACACUGAACAUUGAGCCUUGAUGUGUAGGAUAGGUGGGAGGCUUUGAAGCGUGGACGCCAGUCUGCAUGGAGCCGGCCUUGAAAUACCACCCUUUAAUGUUUGAUGUUCUAACGUGGACCCGUGAUCCGGGUUGCGGACAGUGUCUGGUGGGUAGUUUGACUGGGGCGGUCUCCUCCUAAAGAGUAACGGAGGAGCACGAAGGUUGGCUAAUCCUGGUCGGACAUCAGGAGGUUAGUGCAAUGGCAUAAGCCAGCUUGACUGCGAGCGUGACGGCGCGAGCAGGUGCGAAAGCAGGUCAUAGUGAUCCGGUGGUUCUGAAUGGAAGGGCCAUCGCUCAACGGAUAAAAGGUACUCCGGGGAUAACAGGCUGAUACCGCCCAAGAGUUCAUAUCGACGGCGGUGUUUGGCACCUCGAUGUCGGCUCAUCACAUCCUGGGGCUGAAGUAGGUCCCAAGGGUAUGGCUGUUCGCCAUUUAAAGUGGUACGCGAGCUGGGUUUAGAACGUCGUGAGACAGUUCGGUCCCUAUCUGCCGUGGGCGCUGGAGAACUGAGGGGGGCUGCUCCUAGUACGAGAGGACCGGAGUGGACGCAUCACUGGUGUUCGGGUUGUCAUGCCAAUGGCACUGCCCGGUAGCUAAAUGCGGAAGAGAUAAGUGCUGAAAGCAUCUAAGCACGAAACUUGCCCCGAGAUGAGUUCUCCCUGAGACUUAGAGUCUCCUGAAGGAACGUUGAAGACGACGACGUUGAUAGGCCGGGUGUGUAAGCGCAGCGAUGCGUUGAGCUAACCGGUACUAAUGAACCGUGAGGCUUAACCUU